This is a non-coding RNA of Rattus norvegicus (Norway rat), 979 nucleotides long. NCBI's taxonomy places the organism in Eukaryota, Metazoa, Chordata, Mammalia, Rodentia, Muridae. The record is from RefSeq and is a predicted model, not a curated record.
AAGAUGAAAGUCACUAAAUGUGAAAAGAAAUAAAGCAUACCAUACAAUACAAUAACCAUUAUUUUUAUAGGAUGUAAAGAUUACCAUAGAGUAACAACUUGAGAAUGGUGAAGUUGGAAGGCAGCAUCUUGGCCUUUAUGUAUGGCAGAAAGAAAAACUGGUCCAUGGUCUUGCAUAUGAAAGACAAGAUUUCAACCACUGAGGUACUGGCUCAUUCUAACUUCUGUUCCUUGGGACAGAUACUCCCAGAAGAUGUCCACCCAUUUACCCCUUUCAUCACUGACAAGCACACGACCUGAGAUCUCCUGUGGUGUUCACCUGUUCCAAAAUUUGAGCCUGAAUUGUCUUUAAGUGCAGAGGCCCCUUCAGUAUCCAAGCUAAUUUUAGUGUGACCUAGAUGAUGACAAUUUAGGGUAAAGGCAAGACAAGUAUGUUCACUUUGAAACCUAUAAAGGUCAGGAACCUCCUUUGUGUUAGUGAUUCACAAUGACAGAAGAUGCUUAUUUGUGAAGAGAAUACUACAUUUAUAUGACCUCAAAGUAGAAGCCAGAAGAAAAAGAACUCUGUAUGAAGAAGGCAUGCAGGAAAUAUGAAGAGCCGUGUCACUGGUAAACAUAGACACAUUUCAGGUAAGACUGAGCCAGGACAAAGUUAUGACCAAGGGGUUACAGAUCCUACAGUCAAAUUAAAUAUGCUAUUACUGAGCACAAUUUUUAUACAAUAUACCUAUCAUUUUAUAAAAUUAUUAUUUUGCUAUUUUAUUAUUCAGUUAACUCCAAAAUGGGACCAUCUAUUAUACUCAUUACAAUAUAACAUAAUACAAAACUAUAGUAAAUAGUAAGAAAUGUUACAUUUAAAAAUUUGCUCAAAAAUGUAUGUUCCUUGUAAGCAGAAUUGACUGAGAUAUAAAUUAUUGCACAAACCUACUUUCUUUCUUUAUGAUACUUCCAUUUCACUAUUUUUAGCAAUAUUGUGAGAA